This 494-nucleotide ribosomal RNA is filed under the name uncultured bacterium. Its description in RNAcentral is "partial 16S ribosomal RNA". It matches the Rfam family "Bacterial small subunit ribosomal RNA", at positions 28 to 507 of the family's 1533-position model. The record is from RNAcentral.
GACGAACGCUGGCGGCGUGCUUAACACAUGCAAGUCGAACGGAAAGGCCUGCUUUCCCUUGUGGUUUGCGGGUACUCGAGUGGCGAACGGGUGAGUAACACGUGAGUGAUCUGCCCCCAACUUGGGUAUAAGCCUGGGAAACUGGGUCUAAUUCCCGAUAGUACUGCAGGGUGGUGCCUGUGGUGGAAAACGAUUUUCUAGUGGUUGGGGAUGAGCUCGCGGCCUAUCAGCUUGUUGGUGGGGUAAUGGCCUACCAAGGCGGCGACGGGUAGCCGGCCUGAGAGGGUGGACGGCCACAUUGGGACGGAGAGACGGCCCAGACGCCUACGGGAGGCAGCAGUGGGGAAUAUUGCACAAUGGGCGGAAGCCUGAUGCAGCGACGCCGCGUGGGAGAUGACGGCCUUCGGGUUGUAAACUCCUUGCGACCGCGAGGAAGCCACCUGGUUGGAAGGGUGGUGACGGUAGUGGUAGAAGAAGCACCGGCUAACUACGUG